UACGUAGGGUGCGAGCGUUAAUCGGAAUUACUGGGCGUAAAGGGCGCGUAGGCGGCUUAUCAAGUCAGGCGUGAAAUUCCCGGGCUCAACCUGGGGGCUGCGCUUGAUACUGAUGAGCUUGAAUGCGGGAGAGGAUAGUGGAAUUCCCAGUGUAGAGGUGAAAUUCGUAGAUAUUGGGAAGAACACCAGUGGCGAAGGCGGCUCACUGGCCCGUAACUGACGCUGAGGUGCGAAAGCGUGGGGAGCAAACAGG
RNAcentral lists this ribosomal RNA (253 nucleotides) under uncultured bacterium. RNAcentral's name for it is "partial 16S ribosomal RNA". It matches the Rfam family "Bacterial small subunit ribosomal RNA", at positions 524 to 776 of the family's 1533-position model. The record is from RNAcentral.